ACAACUCUGCAUAAUAGUGGGACCUUGAAUACUACUACCAGUUCUAUCUACCCUGCCUUGUCCUACACUAUGCCAGAGCAGUCAACUCUUCCUAGUUUUAAAUCAUAGGGUUUUGCAGGUCAAGGUUAAUGUUGGAGACAAAGUAGUUAUUUAGUCUCCUUUAUUUAAAUAUACCACAAAUAGUUUAUUAGUUUUAAAACUUUAGUUUUUUUUUUUGAUAAUAUAUGAUUAUUGUAGGAAACUAGAAUAUUGUAAAAAAGUUUAAAAAUCACUCAAACUU
Molecule: long non-coding RNA, 280 nt
Filed under: Bos taurus (domestic cattle)
Lineage: Eukaryota; Metazoa; Chordata; Mammalia; Artiodactyla; Bovidae
Description: long non-coding RNA NONBTAT020332
Source: RNAcentral